AGGGAUCCGGCGGCAGGGGGGGGGGGGCAGCGCCCAGAUCCGCGGCCGCACCGGCAGGCCGCCGUCCCUCGAGAUCGUGCAUGGAGGUCCGACCCGGCUGCAGCCAUGGACUGAGACGCCCGAAACCCUAGCUACCCGUGGAGGUCCGACGCCUACCUCCAAGGAAAGGACGCGCGCCAGCUGCAGGCCAUCUCCGGCGACCUCCGACCAUGGUUGCUCGGAUCUGGACCAGCUGCUGCUCCUACUGCUUCAGGUGGACGAGGACGAGCCCUCCCUCAUGGAUGUUGCGGCUGCCUACUCCCUCCUCCUACCCCCUGGCCUGGUGUGAACGGUCGUUGAAGCGAAAUUCAUGUUCAUAGAUCAGGGAAUGAAUUUGAUGUGUCACGCCUGACAAAAGCCCAAGAUUACAGAUUCUUUGUGUCGACGUGGAAUGUUGGUGGCCAAUGCCCAUCAAGGGGGUUAAUUUAGAUGACUGACUCCAUUCUUCACCCCCUGCUGAUAUCUAUGUGCUCGGAUAUCACUUAUUACGAGGACACUAAACAAGAACGCUGGGUCUAGCAUUCAUGCUGGCUAUCACACGCCAUUCCCUGUCCCUGAUCCGGUUGUGGAACUAGAUGCUGAUUUUAAGGUAUCAUUGAGAAGACAUGAUAGCUCAUCACUUUCCACCACUAUCAUUCCGAAACCUUAGUCGGAGUUUAAGGGUUUCAGGAAAUGAUAUGUUCUCACAACCAAUAUUGGCCCGUAGGUUUAGUGUGUGCGACCCUGUUAACAUAGGAGUCAGGCCGAGCGAUUUUGAUAGAAAUUUCAAGUGUAUCGGAUCACCAGUCGAUGAGUAUAUUGAGGAGGAUACAAGUAAUGGAGCAUAUUUUUCACCAUUCCCAUAUGGCUAUGGUACUUAAACACCAAUGGAAGGAGAUGAAGAGCAGCCAAAUACUUCUAGGUGUCCAGGUAUUGUUUGGUUGCCAGCAAACAGAUGGUUGGCAGAUUUCUCACAGUUUGGGUAACAGCAGGUAUGGCAUGGGAUUCAUUGUUCUGGUUAGAUGAGAUAUAUCAUCUGGUAAAUCAUUGGAUACAUUUCAACGUAUUGGAUUAUUUUGUUCUGAACUCUUUAGUCAGGUACCUUCCUUCUCUCAACACAACUUCAGCAACAUGUUUUAUAUAUUACAACUUCCAAGUUAAUAGUAGAGAUUUAAUCUCAAUACUUGCUUGCUUGGUGUAAGAAUGUAGAAGUAUGUUUUACUUUAGCUCCUAGCUGAAGACUACGGUUGGGUGUUCCAAUAACUUAUUUUUGGCAUGGUCUUCUUUGCUACCUCUGCAUGUGCAAUCCUCAUUAUUUGUUGCUUGAUUCUCUAUGCAAGAAUCUUGGCUCAUGAUCGAACAUAUAUGGUCACAUAUUUGCUCCAGGGAUUUAUUUUUGUCAGAGCCGAUCGACAAAUGAUCAGCCUGAAAGUAUAAUUUUCUAGCUUAAUACAUGUCAUGCAAGUAUGGUUUCCUUAAUGUGACUGGUAAUGUAAAUUUUGUGGGUCUCUCAGUUCCUAUGAGCCUAAUAUAGUUAAUUCGAAAUCAUGAUUCUGAUGGAAAUGCCAAAGAAACAGAACCUGAAUUAGUAGUUAAUUGGAUAGCAUGAUUCCGAUGGAAAUGCAAAAGAAACAGAACCAACAAUAGUAGUCUACCUUAAAGCUCGAAGAAUUCAUGAGAAAUUCUUGCUAGCAUCUAGAAUUGGAUGCCCUCAGGAAGACUAUUGUAAGUCAAUUUUCAUGACUGAUUUGCUCAUUUCCUCUAGCUGCACAAUAUGACAUAUUGCUUCUUAAUUCAACACUUACUGCUACUUAGUAAUAAGAGGACAUGUGGGACUUUGUUUCUCGAAUUGACACUCAAUAGUAGAAGAUGUUCAUACCUAGAAUAGUUGAUCACAAACUGCCGUAUCAUGGCUUUCUAGCUUAUAUGUUACAGAGCAAGUGAGCAGCCUCUACUCCCCCCCCCUCUAAUUAAUCUCUAUUUUGUAGCUUUGAAUAGCUAAAAAAAGUUGAUUCUGGUAUAUAUUCAUUGGCGCAAACAUUAGAAGUUCUAUGAUAUUUUUUCUUACCACAUAUAUAUGAAGGAUUGUGCAGACAACUUGCAGCGUUGGAAUCAACAUCUGGGAACAAUGCAUGGACAUUUAGAUAUAUAUUUUUAGCAUUCUUCAAGAUCUUGACUUAAUUUCUUUUUACACUGUUAAAUAAUAAAAGUAACAAAAUGUUGUACAAUAGUAGUAUCUGUUAUGUAGUCAAGUUUACUGAAAUCAAAAGAAAACCAAGAAAGGAGAGCCGAAGUUCAAGGCAUGUUCAGCUCCAUUGAUUUCCUCUCUCAAUGGAGUGUUAGUCCUCUGAAUAUUUUUAUUCCUCUGAUCUCAAACAUUGUCUACACAAGAGUCGAAGCUUUGUCUGCCACUGCUCUUCAGUUCACACCGCCGAUGUUGUGAGGACUGGCAGCUCUUCAGUUCAUGCUGCCAAUGUUGUGAGGACUGGAAGGACUUCAAUGGGCGCGGAGGCUGCAACCUAGGGCGAGGGCGUCAGUGCGUUGAGAUGGUGGGGCCACGUCAGUGGGAGGACGUGAGGCGGCGAUGUCCACCCAGAUCUAUAGCCGCAACAGAAGAACAACUCAGAGAGGACGUGCAGCUCCUGUGUGUAGUAGAUAAAUCGCCGCCCAGAUAAAUCACCGGGACACUACCAAGUGUGUCAUCAGUAGGAUAAAAAAUCUUGAGCGUGCCUCAGGUGCGACUCUAGCUAUUGAAAAUCAAAGAACCUGAAUACUUCCGGAGUUUGAUAAGGCUUUACGGUGAGUUCUCAUAGUGGUCUAUGUGCAUGAUGGGAUGCUGGUACUGCUGUUCUACUUUUACUGCUGUUGUUAUUAAGCAGAUUUUGUCAAAGCAAUUGCUAUGUGUAUUAAUUUGGAUAGGAUCAGUUAAAGUACAUCUCAUUAAACGGCGUUUUUUGUCGUGUGUUUUAACUUUUUAUUAUUAGUAGCAGUGGUUUCUAUAGCUAGCCCAAUGAUGAUCCCCACUUUAACCGACAUGAUGUCAAAGCUCAAGGCUAUCAGUGACCAUCCAUAUAGCUCAUCAAGUCAUCUUCAGAUCACUAGCCCUAAUGGUGUCAAGCUCAAGGAUAUCUAGGAGCACUCGAACCUCCUGCAUGACGAAGUCACUCGAUGAGGAUGUGCUUACCCAGGAGAAUGAACCUAUUGAUGCUCCCCUUGCAGCCGGAAGUAUCUUGAAAGCUGCGAAAACCUCAUACAUGAGCAUAUCUGCGAUGCAAGGAGCUUUUGUGGUGACUCGGAGGAGGUAGCAGGGGGAGGAAAAGAAGGGAUAGGUUCCAUUACGAUCUUCUGUUGACACAAUGGUCGUCGGUGGCGAGAACAUGAGGACCAUGGUGAGUGGCUUUGUACCAGGACUGUUUCAUGCAUUUGAUUUUGAGGUUACAAUUAACAGACAUGUAUUGACCUAUUGCGGCUAUAGAGUAUGCCUAAGCCAAUGGCCAGACAUCGGCUGUUCGGAUCCACCCUUAAGCCGAGGCACAAGUCCAUUGCGGUUGAUUAUUGUUUGGGGAUUCAGUUUCAUGCAAGGGGAUUCAUAUUGGUUGAAACCUUGAAGUUGAACAUGAAGGGCACACAUUUGAUUUCCAUUGGGUGUUGCCCUUGUUUAGCACAUUAGUAGAUGGUCUCUUACUGGAUUAUGGCAGUAGUAGUGUGGUAUUGUUGUGAAUUUUGUUUUCUUCUUUUACUAGACCAAUUGUUUCAAAGAAUUUUGAGAUGCUACAAUACUGAUAGACAUGUGGCUAUCCCUUCAUUUUAUCAAGGAUGACUAUUGUUGAUGAAAGGACAUUUACAUA
This is a long non-coding RNA of Triticum aestivum (bread wheat), 3866 nucleotides long. RefSeq lists it as uncharacterized. The record is from RefSeq and is a predicted model, not a curated record. The transcript is spliced from 9 exons. NCBI's taxonomy places the organism in Eukaryota, Viridiplantae, Streptophyta, Magnoliopsida, Poales, Poaceae.